Molecule: transfer RNA, 85 nt
Filed under: Candidatus Gugararchaeum adminiculabundum
Lineage: Archaea; Nanobdellati; Microcaldota; Candidatus Micrarchaeia; Candidatus Gugararchaeales; Candidatus Gugararchaeaceae
Description: tRNA-Ser(cag)
Source: RNAcentral
GCGGGGAUCGCGGAGCCUGGUCAAACGCGCGAGGUUCAGGGCCUCGUCUCUCAGGAGUUCGUGGGUUCGGGCCCCUUUUUCUGUU